Molecule: non-coding RNA, 48 nt
Organism: Schistosoma rodhaini
Lineage: Eukaryota; Metazoa; Platyhelminthes; Trematoda; Strigeidida; Schistosomatidae
Source: Rfam
AUCCAGUUGACGAGUCCCAAAUAGGACGAAACGCGCGUUACACUGGAU